AGAGUUUGAUCAUGGCUCAGAUUGAACGCUGGCGGAAUGCUUUACACAUGCAAGUCGAGCGGCAGCGCGGGGGCAACCCUGGCGGCGAGCGGCGAACGGGUGAGUAAUGUAUCGGAACGUACCCUGUCGUGGGGGAUAACUAUCCGAAAGGAUAGCUAAUACCGCAUACGACCUGAGGGUGAAAGCGGGGGACCGUAAGGCCUCGCGCGAUAGGAGCGGCCGAUAUCGGAUUAGCUAGUUGGUGAGGUAAAGGCUCACCAAGGCGACGAUCCGUAGCUGGUCUGAGAGGACGACCAGCCACACUGGAACUGAGACACGGUCCAGACUCCUACGGGAGGCAGCAGUGGGGAAUUUUGGACAAUGGGGGCAACCCUGAUCCAGCCAUUCCGCGUGAGUGAAGAAGGCCUUCGGGUUGUAAAGCUCUUUCAGCAGGAACGAAACGGUGGCCCCUAAUACGGGCUACUAAUGACGGUACCUGAAGAAGAAGCACCGGCUAACUACGUGCCAGCAGCCGCGGUAAUACGUAGGGUGCGAGCGUUAAUCGGAAUUACUGGGCGUAAAGCGUGCGCAGGCGGUUAUAUAAGACAGAUGUGAAAUCCCCGGGCUUAACCUGGGAACUGCGUUUGUGACUGUAUAACUCGAGUGUGGCAGAGGGGGGUGGAAUUCCACGUGUAGCAGUGAAAUGCGUAGAGAUGUGGAGGAACACCGAUGGCGAAAGCAGCCCCCUGGGUCAACACUGACGCUCAUGCACGAAAGCGUGGGG
Molecule: ribosomal RNA, 763 nt
Filed under: uncultured bacterium
Lineage: Bacteria
Description: bacterial SSU rRNA
Rfam family: Bacterial small subunit ribosomal RNA
Source: RNAcentral